Leptopilina heterotoma is the source of this 1210-nucleotide long non-coding RNA. RefSeq lists it as uncharacterized. NCBI's taxonomy places the organism in Eukaryota, Metazoa, Arthropoda, Insecta, Hymenoptera, Figitidae. The record is from RefSeq and is a predicted model, not a curated record. The transcript is spliced from 4 exons.
GCAUUUUGGACCCAGAAUUCGUGUGCAGCGCAACAUUUUGCCACUCAAGCAAAAUGCCUUUCUUUUUAGCAUUUUAAAAUCGUCCGUAUUCGGACUGUCAUAUUCCAAGAUUGCCAUGCAUUCCAAUACGAAAAAUCCUCAAUUCCGAGUUGGAACAUAGCCUACUCGCAAUGCGGAAUCGCGGGCUCCCAAUUUUCCUCUGCUUACAGGGUAGAAAAAAAAUAUUUUCUUUAUUGGUGUUCAACAAUAAAAUUUUGAACCAAUCUUUGCUGACAUCUUACUGAAUAUGAAGAUAUUUGUAACUAACUUCCUUUUGUUAUUUAUAUCUGCACUGAGACUGUGUUAAAAAAGUUGAAUGGUUCAUUGAUUUUUUAACAGCGUCACCCUCACACUAUAAGCUCUGACUUUCCCACCACUUUACUGUUCAUUCAUAUAUUUAAUUCAAGAUGGCCGCCACUAACUGAUUCAAAGGAAUUCUUGGAAUUUACGCCAAUAUUUGUUACUAUGGCUACUACAUUCUUACACAUGUCAAAAAUAUAAAAGUUUAUUAUUUUUUCUGAAAGAAAAAUACAAUGAAUAUACUACGAGAUGGUAAAUUAGUAAAAAAGAAUCAAGCAAAAAUGAGACAAAAACCAUUUGAGAAAUCUACAUGGAUUGAUAUUAAAACCAACUUUAAUGAAAGAGGUCUUGUUUAAUAAAAAAUCAUUUUUGGAAAGCAGAUUUUUCAAACUGUCAGUGAGUGUCGUUAAUUGAUUUGUGAAAGGAAACAAACAGAAAUUUAAUUUCCCGAAAACGAAGAAAUAAAUUCUUCAAUUUGAAGAAUUUCAGCAUGGCUGCGAAAAAAUUUUUCGCCGAACUUUUUGGUAGUAAAAAUCAAGUGCAAAUUACCGCAGAAGUGAACGAUGAGAAGCGCCGUUUUUCCAUUUCGAAUUCAGGACGUUUUCGUCAGAGAAACAAGCGUCGAAAUGAAUUACAAAAAGACACUUUCUCACCGCACAAUCCGAUUGCCAUUGAUUGUGGUAAAGAAGUGGAGAGAAAUUUUCAACAAAGCGAGAAUGUUUAAAGAUUCAAUGAGAUGCAGUAAAGGACAAGUUUUUUUUUUGAUAAUCGGUAUACAAUAAUUGCGUGUAAUAUAUAUGGACAGUAUAAAAGUUAUUUAUUUUCAUUAAAAUUCAUUUUUAUCAACAAAUAAAUAUUUAAUAUAAAUUAU